RNAcentral lists this ribosomal RNA (349 nucleotides) under uncultured bacterium. Its description in RNAcentral is "bacterial SSU rRNA". It matches the Rfam family "Bacterial small subunit ribosomal RNA", at positions 28 to 353 of the family's 1533-position model. The record is from RNAcentral.
GACGAACGCUGGCGGCGUGCUUAACACAUGCAAGUCGAACGAGAAGAGAUGAGAAGCUUGCUUCUUAUCGAUUCGAGUGGCAAACGGGUGAGUAACGCGUAAGCAACCUGCCCUUCAGAUGGGGACAACAGCUGGAAACGGCUGCUAAUACCGAAUACGUUCUUUUUGUCGCAUAGCAGGGGGAAGAAAGGGAGGCUCUUCGGAGCUUUCGCUGAAGGAGGGGCUUGCGUCUGAUUAGCUAGUUGGAGGGGUAACGGCCCACCAAGGCGACGAUCAGUAGCCGGUCUGGAGAGGAUGAACGGCCACAUUGGAACUGAGACACGGUCCAGGACUCCUACGGGAGGCAGCA